Molecule: long non-coding RNA, 306 nt
Organism: Cynoglossus semilaevis (tongue sole)
Lineage: Eukaryota; Metazoa; Chordata; Actinopteri; Pleuronectiformes; Cynoglossidae
Exons: 3
Source: RefSeq, a predicted model, not a curated record
UUCUUUUUGUUUUGUUUAUGUAGACGAAACCCAGGUGAACAUUGCCAAGCACGUAUUGAAGAGCCUGUGCACAGAUGUGACCAACAUCCUGGUGAACUCUCUGGCUGCUGACCUGAUGAUGUCUGUGGAGAACCCCAGCACCAUCACUAAUGAGGUCAGAGUGAAGAUUUUGAGCAAACUGUCAGAAGAAACCAAAGGACCUCUUAUGAAGCUGCACAACUGCCUGAACGGAAAAACAAUUGAAGACUUUGUGACCAACCUGGAGCUAUCGGCAGAGGUUUGCGGAUUCAUGCUGAAAAAAGGAGA